CAGUCCGGCGCCUGAAGCGGCCGAAUCCUGCAUUUUCCUGCGGCCUGAAUCCACUCCUGCGGCCGUAGCACGCGGAUCUGUGACUAUCAGGUAGCCUACGAGUUCAUCCGCGCCUCUCCCGUCCGUGGUUUCCGACCUCAUCCGCCAGCUGCUCGACAUGGAGUUCGUGGCCGGCAAGAAGAUGCACUUCGGCGGCAGUGGCUCCAAGAUAAAGGGAGAUUUCAAGGACGAGGAGGACAGGAAGCUCAGAGCUGUCUACGAGACGCUCUCCGACUACAACCAGAAGCUGCAGUGCUACUCCGCUCGGCAGAUUGGUUCCAGUCUGCUCGGGAGCAGGGGCUAUCUGUGCCAGAAGGCUGGAGGCACCAAAACAGGAAGAGGUGGUGAUUCAGAAGGUCAAUCCGCAAGUGACAACUAAGAAGCUUGAGAGUGGGAGCUGGAGGGGAAGAUGCAAGUAAUGGGAAAUCCGCAAACAUUGGAUCCAACGUGAGCUCAUCCUUGUCUUUCAUAAAAGGAGAGCAAGGCGGCUGUCACCCUGAAGGUUCACUGGGAUAAAUGGCAAGAUGAGGAUGACAGUGCUAACAAAGGUGAUCCAGGUGAUAGGUCUGGCUUGAUAGGUCUGGCUUCCUCCAGGUGAUGCUUCUGGUAGUAGUUGCCGAAGUGUACCACUAGUUGUCUUUGGUUCUGUCCAAAAUGAUACAGGUAGAAUUAUACAGGUUUGCCUAACAUCUGGACAUCAAUCAGGCUUGUUUUUCUUUGUCAGUAUUGAAGACUAGAUCAGUACAAGUUUCUUUGUCAGGGCCUUGACAGAUAUGAAUCCGUUAAUAGCGUUGAUGUGUUCUGUGUGAUAUAUAGCUUUAUGUGAACUGGUACCUACACUGCUCUUUGGGAUGCUGCAUCGUAUUUUCUGUGAACAAGCUGGCAUUCAAUGCCUGCGUAUGGUCAGAUCAAAUGAGUAGUUUCAGUCUUGUGAUACUUAGGACCAAAUGGUGUUCAUGUUAUUGUAAUCCACACCACAUGCAGUGUGCAAUAGUCGUUGAUAGGUGUUGCUUCUGAUGGUAGCAGCCAGAGUGUGCCACUAGUUCAUUACAGCUUGUGUUGGUUCAGUCCAAAAACGAUACAUGUAGAUUUAGACAGGCUUGUAUAACAUCUGGACAUCAAUCAACACCUGGUUUCUUGUCAGUACUGUAGAUUAGAUCAGUACGUGUAAUCUUCCAAUAAAUUGAGCAUGCUCUAAACUGUCUUUAUUCUUGCUGCUUCAGGCCACGCUUUGAGGACAGCAUGAAGGACGAAGCGAUCAAAUGAUCAGAGAAUUGCCUUGCAAAUUUGACAAGGAGCAGAAGCAGCAGAAGGUGUCGAGGAGUCUGCGUUUGCAGACCUCGCAGGUGUUUGUGACGCCCUUGUCGGGCCUUGGCUGCUGCCGCUCGUUCAGGAACACCACA
Molecule: long non-coding RNA, 1442 nt
Organism: Lolium rigidum
Lineage: Eukaryota; Viridiplantae; Streptophyta; Magnoliopsida; Poales; Poaceae
Exons: 6
Source: RefSeq, a predicted model, not a curated record